This 396-nucleotide long non-coding RNA is filed under the name Phasianus colchicus (ring-necked pheasant). Its description in RNAcentral is "lncRNA (ENSPCLG00000002855.1)". Lineage: Eukaryota; Metazoa; Chordata; Aves; Galliformes; Phasianidae. The record is from RNAcentral.
AAGUUUGUUUGUGAGGUACUUCUGUAAGAAUCUUUCAUCCUGAAAGUGACACUUGAAAACUCUGUUGCAGAUCUUGACAGGAUUCACAUGUGAAUACCCAAGAUCUGUGAUGUAUUGUUUUGCUGUGGAAAGGAGUAUAAAUAUAUUUCACUUCCAAAGGUUUAUGUGAACGCCCUGACAGUAUCUGAACUCACUCACCUACCAUCACUGCUAUCUGCUGGGUGUACUGGAUGCCAGCUCCAUUUCCCUGAUGCUUGUCCUGCUUUUGUCUCCGUGAAAAGCUCUUGAUAAUACAUCCACCUUUGUGUUUGUAAUAUUGAAAUGUGCAGCCAGAUUCUUAGCUUUGCAAGGACCUUUUUGUCAUCUUUUGAAGACACACUGAGAUUGGUAACAAAU